This 255-nucleotide ribosomal RNA is filed under the name Triticum aestivum (bread wheat). RNAcentral describes it as "partial small subunit ribosomal RNA". Lineage: Eukaryota; Viridiplantae; Streptophyta; Magnoliopsida; Poales; Poaceae. The record is from RNAcentral.
AUGAGUGCCUUUUCUUGGAACUGUCGUGGACUUGGCAGCGGCGAGAUAGUGAGAGAGCUUCAUGAAUUUGUGAGGCAAUAUGCCCCUACUGCUCUUUAUGUAGUCGUGACUCGAAUACAUAAAGUCCAGGUUGAAAAACUAGCGGCUACGCUAGCUUAUGACAAGUGUUUUACCGUUAGCAGCUCAGGUUGAAGUGGUGAACUCAUCAUUUCCUGGAAUAAAAUUUUACAUGUUGAGAUCUUAUCAUAUUCGUAA